UACAGAGACUGCAAGCGUUAUUCGGAUUCACUGGGCGUAAAGGGUGCGCAGGCGGUCGGGUGUGUCAGAUGUGAAAUCCCGAGGCUCAACCUCGGAACUGCGUCUGAAACUACUCGACUAGAGUACUGGAGAGGGUAACGGAAUUCACGGUGUAGCAGUGAAAUGCGUAGAUAUCGUGAGGAACACCGAUGGCGAAGGCAGAUCUCUGGGCCGUAACUGACGCUGAGGAGCGAAAGCGUGGGGAGCGAACAGG
This 253-nucleotide ribosomal RNA is filed under the name uncultured bacterium. Its description in RNAcentral is "partial 16S ribosomal RNA". It matches the Rfam family "Bacterial small subunit ribosomal RNA", at positions 524 to 776 of the family's 1533-position model. The record is from RNAcentral.